This 1552-nucleotide long non-coding RNA is filed under the name Cotesia glomerata. RNAcentral describes it as "uncharacterized LOC123275301, transcript variant X3". Lineage: Eukaryota; Metazoa; Arthropoda; Insecta; Hymenoptera; Braconidae. The record is from RNAcentral.
UUAGCUGUUGAUGCUGAUGAAGAUUAUGAUGAUGAUGAUGAUGAUGACGGGAGGAUGAAAAAGUAAUAAAAAAUAGUUUACAGCCGUCAAUAUUCUAGAGUAAAUAAUAUUCAGUGAAAAUUAUAAAUUUUCUCCUGUUUGAAGCCAAUUUUAGCAGUUAUUAUACAUCGUUAUAAAUACAUACAUUUAUAUCUGCAUUAUUUGGAGAUAAAGUUUCAGAAAUAUAUUAUUAAAGAGACAUUAUAAUAAAAAGAGUGGGAGAAAGUGGGUAAAAGUAUCAUAUGAGCCAAAGAAGAAAAGGGUUUUUCAAUAUACAAAAGUUCCAACAUUACAGUAAUCCUUCGCGAUGUUACACCAAACAAAGCUGGCAAUGAGUAGUAGGAAAUAACCAUGUUGGUAUCCAAGCGUUUCUAAAUGAAAUGUAUGCUCAGGGCGGAAGCGCGACACAGUAAUAUAUACGAUACGCAAAGUGAAAGCAGGAGCACCAGCAACAGCAGCAGCAAGAGAAGAGAGCAGAGAGCGGCGAAUGAUUUUGGCUCUCUUCCAGAGCUAUAAGCCGGUUUUCUGGUGAAAUUAUUGAGACCAAUAUUGCACUUGAGAGUAUAUAUACUCUUAUAAUACAAAUUUUUACACGUUAUAAAAGAUGUGUUCGGAGAACCUGAAAAUUAACCAAUAAAAAUAAAAUAAAAUAAAAUAAACGAAGGAAUUCAAGAAAGAGAGAGUGAUGAUGAACUUAAAAAAAGAUUGGAUGCUCGAGAAGUGAGCGAGGAUUCCGAGUAGAGCAAUUAGACGGAUCGUACAUAAGUACGAAGAUACGCAUUGAUAAAAAUGAGAGUAAGUAUAAGUAUAAUGAAUAAGAAAUGAAAUACGAUGGUGCUCGCGCGCAGAGCUGUUGAGAGUGAAUAACGACGUGUUGGGGUGGUGAGAGUAGGCCAAUGUCAGUGUCAAUACGCCGCAGAGCUUGGCUAGUUAGCCUCUCUGGCGCGCGCGACAAACUUGAUCGUGAAAACAGAAAAACGACAGCGUACAUGGAGUCGCCGAUUACGUUCAUUCGCUCAACAAUUUUAUUUAUAGAACCUUGUAAUUCAUUGUAUAUAUAUAUAUACACAUAUGUGAGAUUUUGCAUUCAUACUAAUUUCUUUUAUUAAAUAUGUAUAUGUAUAUUAAUAUAUUCGAUUAUUUAAUCUCGUUAUAUAUGUAAUACAAUUUUUUUAUUAUUAUGCUAUGGAUGAUGUAAUUUUUUUUUAUAACACUACUGUGUCAGAAGUGAGAUAAGCACUUGCUAAUUUUAAUCACCAUCGUAACCGCCUCCAUCAUUUUAUUUGCGAUGUACUUUAAAUUACAAUUAUUUAAGACAGGAGCAUGUGUAUAAUUUAUAUUAUCAUUAUUGUCAAAUAAUAAAAUUUGUUAUCGAAUGUUAACAAAUAAAAUAAUGGAAGAAUGAGAAUAUAUUGUAAAGAAGUAAAAGUUUAAAUAUACCUUUACUUAUUGUAAUUAUCAUAUUAAUGUUAUGUAAAAAAAUAUAAAAUUUUCACUCGGUAUUAAAAAAAAA